RNAcentral lists this ribosomal RNA (203 nucleotides) under Bacillus velezensis. RNAcentral describes it as "partial 16S ribosomal RNA". It matches the Rfam family "Bacterial small subunit ribosomal RNA", at positions 1 to 199 of the family's 1533-position model. Lineage: Bacteria; Bacillati; Bacillota; Bacilli; Caryophanales; Bacillaceae. The record is from RNAcentral.
UUUAUCGGAGAGUUUGAUCCUGGCUCAGGACGAACGCUGGCGGCGUGCCUAAUACAUGCAAGUCGAGCGGACAGAUGGGAGCUUGCUCCCUGAUGUUAGCGGCGGACGGGUGAGUAACACGUGGGUAACCUGCCUGUAAGACUGGGAUAACUCCGGGAAACCGGGGCUAAUACCGGAUGGUUGUUUGAACCGCAUGGUUCAGA